UACAGAGAGUACAAGCGUUAAUCAAAAUUACUAAACGUAAAACACACAUAAACAGUUUUGUAAGUCAGAUGUGAAAUCCCUGGGCUCAACCUGGGAACUGCAUUUGAAACUGCAUGGCUAGAGUAUGGAAGAGGGAAGUGGAAUUUCCGGUGUAGCGGUGAAAUGCGUAGAUAUCGGAAGGAACACCAGUGGCGAAAGCGACUUCCUGGUCCAAUACUGACGUUCAUGUGCGAAAGCGUGGGGAGCAAACAGG
Molecule: ribosomal RNA, 253 nt
Filed under: uncultured bacterium
Lineage: Bacteria
Description: partial 16S ribosomal RNA
Rfam family: Bacterial small subunit ribosomal RNA
Source: RNAcentral